Schizosaccharomyces pombe (fission yeast) is the source of this 342-nucleotide non-coding RNA. The record is from the annotation of a GenBank genome assembly. Lineage: Eukaryota; Fungi; Ascomycota; Schizosaccharomycetes; Schizosaccharomycetales; Schizosaccharomycetaceae.
CAAUUGGCAAAAUCAAAUUUAGGAAAUAAAUUUUUGAAGUAUAAAAGAAAUAAACUGUAUAAAGGACUUAACAUGAUGAACGAAUUUAAACAAAUUGAAAAAAAUAUGUAUAUUUAAUUACAAAUUACAGCUCAAAAGCUUCAAAGUCAUACCCUCGUCUUCUUAAAUGUAUUUAUUUAUUCAAUAAAUUUAAAAAAAAAUUUUCGAAUCCCUUGAGAAUCGAUUUUCAUCUUAAAACUGUUAAUAGUUUGAUCUUCCUUUAGUUUAAAUCUUUAAGCAAACUUGUCACGUAUCAUUACUGCCUUCAGAAAAAGCAGCUUCUUCGUACAUAUUGUCGGAAGG